Long non-coding RNA from Sinocyclocheilus anshuiensis, 498 nucleotides. RefSeq lists it as uncharacterized. The record is from RefSeq and is a predicted model, not a curated record. NCBI's taxonomy places the organism in Eukaryota, Metazoa, Chordata, Actinopteri, Cypriniformes, Cyprinidae. The transcript is spliced from 5 exons.
CUCCUCCGUAAACACUCGACGCGGAAGUGCGCGAGACGCACAGAUUUACCGAGAUUCCGCGAUACAUUCAUUUAAAAAAAUGUAUAUAUUUGAACCGUUCCCGCAGUAACAUAUUAUAAGUUCACCGUCAACAAUGACAAAUGCCAAUUUACAGAAAGCCAUUGAUUUGGCCAGCAGAGCUUCUGAGGAGGACAAGGCCAAAAACUACGAGGAAGCUCUGCGCCUCUAUCAGCAUGCAAUCCAGUAUUUUCUUCAUGUGGUAAAAUUUCAUUGAGCAAAAAAUCCAGAACCUGAUGAUGGAAUAUGUUUUGAGCGCGCCGCCCUCCAUAUCAGUCAGAGUUCCCCAGUCUGACGAUUAAGGGACUGACAGUGAUGACGGCGAUGCAGAGAAAAAGAAAUUCCAAAGUCAACUCCAAGGUGCUAUUGUCAUGGAGAAACCCAACAUUAAGUGGGACGAUGUUGCUGGUUUGGAAGGAGCCAAAGAGGCCCUUAAAGAAG